Molecule: non-coding RNA, 82 nt
Organism: Tephrocybe rancida
Lineage: Eukaryota; Fungi; Basidiomycota; Agaricomycetes; Agaricales; Lyophyllaceae
Source: the annotation of a GenBank genome assembly
UGCCAUGUAGCUCAAUUGGUAGAGCACCUGGUUAUCAUACGUCUGGUAUCUGGGAAUGCGAGUUCAACUCUUGCCAUGGUCA